GACGAACGCUGGCGGCGUGCUUAACACAUGCAAGUCGAACGGGAAGGCCCUGCUUUUGUGGGGUGCUCGAGUGGCGAACGGGUGAGUAACACGUGAGUAACCUGCCCUUGACUUUGGGAUAACUUCAGGAAACUGGGGCUAAUAGCGCAUAGGAGCUCCUGCUGCAUGGUGGGGGUUGGAUAGUUUCGGCGGUUGGGGAUGGACUGGCGGCGUAUCAGAUUGUUGGUGGGGUAGUGGCUUACCAAGGCUUGGACGGGUAGCCGGCCUGAGAGGGGGACCGGCCAAACUGGGCCUGAGAUAAGGCCCAGCCUCGUCUGGGAGGCAGCGGUGGGGAAGAGUGCACUAUGGGAGGAAGGCUGAUGCAGCAAAGCAGCGUGGGGGAAGACGGCAUUCGGGUAGUAAACCGAUUUCGCCUUUCACGAGGCGUGAGUGACGGUACCGGGUGAAGAAGCACCGGCUAACUCCGUG
This 468-nucleotide ribosomal RNA is filed under the name uncultured bacterium. RNAcentral's name for it is "partial 16S ribosomal RNA". It matches the Rfam family "Bacterial small subunit ribosomal RNA", at positions 28 to 507 of the family's 1533-position model. The record is from RNAcentral.